UAAGUCGUAACAAGGUCUCCGUUGGUGAACCAGCGGAGGGAUCAUU
This 46-nucleotide ribosomal RNA is filed under the name Colletotrichum magnum. Its description in RNAcentral is "partial 18S ribosomal RNA". It matches the Rfam family "Eukaryotic small subunit ribosomal RNA", at positions 1785 to 1830 of the family's 1831-position model. Lineage: Eukaryota; Fungi; Ascomycota; Sordariomycetes; Glomerellales; Glomerellaceae. The record is from RNAcentral.